Topomyia yanbarensis is the source of this 1411-nucleotide long non-coding RNA. RefSeq lists it as uncharacterized. The record is from RefSeq and is a predicted model, not a curated record. The transcript is spliced from 3 exons. Lineage: Eukaryota; Metazoa; Arthropoda; Insecta; Diptera; Culicidae.
AUCGUUAAACUGUCAUUUACAAAAGCAAAACAAACCGGAAUUAUAAGGAUUUGCUCAAAGAUUUUCGUAUUAAUUUAUUUUGUAUUAUUGGUAACGAUUGCAUACUUCGGCCGUAAAUUCAUCAAUUUUAAUUCUUAUUUGUAAUUAGUGUGCCGUAUUGUUUGUAUCCUUUGCACAAUUCGGGACAGCAGUUUAAUCAAAGACAAAUGAAUUAAUCGAGCCAAGUCAAGACUGAUACUAUCGUUUGAAAGAAACUAAAGAAGUAAAAUGGAAUCAGUGAUGUUGGGAUGUUUGGCCGAGGAAGAGGCGCCAAUACGAUUGAUACGACGAAAUUUAAGAAAUAAUUUGAAAUUAAUGGAUCUUCCUGACCAGUUAUUUGUGAAGCAUUUUCGUUUAUCUAAAAGCGCGUUUCAAUACGUCCUUCGAGAAAUUGAAAACGAUUUCCCGUCUACUAGAAAAACUGGUCUCUCUCCAAUGGAAAAAUUAGCCGCAACUCUUCGGUUUUUAGCAGAGGGUAGCUAUCAGCACGGAACUGGACAAGACUUCAACGUGGCUCUGUCGCAGUCAACAUUCUCUAAAGUUCUUGCUGAAACGCUCUUAAUAAUGGAACGUAGACUCUGCCCAGCAUGGAUAUCGCUUGAGAUGACGGAAGAAGAGAAACGCCAAGCAAAAAUAUAUUUCUAUGAAAAAUCUGAAAUUCCAGGCAUCAUUAUGUGCGUGGAUGGAACACACGUAAAAAUAAUUCCCCCGGCGAAAGAUAGAAACUUAUAUUACAAUAGGAAAGGAUAUUAUAGUUUAAACGCAUUAGUCGUAAGUAUGACGUAAAGUUGAUAGAGAAUUACAGUCGAGUGAGCAGCCAAUAUAUGCAGAAUUGUCCAAUAUUCUAUUUAAUUUUCUUUAUGCAUAGGGUCCCAGUUAAGCUCAGCCGGGAAUGAACCGGAAUUCCGGCUGGCUCCAGUUCGUGUUCCGACUACAGUGACACAACCGAUUCUAGUCCAGAUCGCUAAUUGCAAACAGCAAGAAGACAACAUUGAACUGAUGCUAAUUAAGCUAUUUAAGUGUGUUUAAAUAGUGAUCCCCUUACGCACAUAAGAUUAGCUUUUCUAGGCAAUACUCCCACGGUCGGCGGUGUAGAGUUCAAAUUGCUUUUGAAUAGACAACAUAGAAUAUACUCGGUAGCCGGCUACCCCGAGUUUAAAAAGAACCAAAAACUAAACAAGAUCUAUUCUUUUUCGAGUGAUCAUGUACUCAAAGACUAGCUAAACAAAUACCUAAUAAACUAUGCUUUACAGAUCGCAUCGCUAGCUUGGAGCGAAUCCUAGACCUUACACCCAUCCAAACUACCACUCCGCAACACCUAUGGAAGAGCCUGAUGAAUCGUCUACCUUCCGUUAAGUAGGUAGAGCCUCAA